This 497-nucleotide ribosomal RNA is filed under the name uncultured bacterium. RNAcentral's name for it is "partial 16S ribosomal RNA". It matches the Rfam family "Bacterial small subunit ribosomal RNA", at positions 28 to 507 of the family's 1533-position model. The record is from RNAcentral.
GAUGAACGCUGGCGGCGUGCCUAAUACAUGCAAGUCGAGCGAACAGACGAGGAGCUUGCUCCUCUGACGUUAGCGGCGGACGGGUGAGUAACACGUGGAUAACCUACCUAUAAGACUGGGAUAACUUCGGGAAACCGGAGCUAAUACCGGAUAACAUGUUGAACCGCAUGGUUCAACAGUGAAAGACGGUCUUGCUGUCACUUAUAGAUGGAUCCGCGCCGCAUUAGCUAGUUGGUAAGGUAACGGCUUACCAAGGCAACGAUGCGUAGCCGACCUGAGAGGGCGAUCGGCCACACUGGAACUGAGACACGGCCCAGACUCCUACGGGAGGCAGCAGUAGGGAAUCUUCCGCAAUGGGCGAAAGCCUGACGGAGCAACGCCGCGUGCGUGAAGAAGGUCUUCGGAUCGUAAACCUCUGUUAUUAGGGACGAACAAAUGUGUAAGUAACUAUGCACGUCUUGACGGUACCUAAUCAGAAAGCCACGGCUAACUACGUG